GAGCUCCGCUUUUAGGCAAUGCCUAAAUCUAUAUAUCAGUUUCAGUUUAUUGUUUUGUCACUUAAUACAUUUUUUUAAAUAAAGCAAGGCUUAAACGAGACGGACCUCCUAAAUCUUAAAAGAAAAUACAUAUUUGAUAUUUGGGACAGUCAGAUUAAUCAUAUAAAUAUUUGGUAGGAGAGCUUUCAUAUUUUUUUUCAUACUUAUAUAAAAAACACACACACACAAACAUAAAUCGAGAAAGAAAAAAAAAAUUAAGAGUUAAUAAGAGAAGUCUUUAACUUAUUACAAAAAGAGUUAAGCGUUUUGGCAGACUGAAUAUCAGAAGACAAUGAAUUGAAAUAUUUAGGUCCCUGAUGUCUUAACGCAAACUUAUGUAUAUUUGUUCUAAACUUUCGUGGCCAGAAAUAUUGAACCAAAACGGGAGUUGGGCCGAGCUUUUCCUAUUUUGCAUAUCCAUUGUAUUUGCGCGCAUUUGAUUGGUUCCCGAAAUCCACAAAUCACGGGUCUUAGACCCGUGAAAAAAUGGCGGCUAGACGAGAGAAGGGUUUUUAUCGUACGCUUAAUUCGACUCUUCCGUUGAUCUUUUUUGCGAUCGACCUUUGAAACGAAUUCAAGGUAAAGGUCGGCUUUGGGAAGUUGAUCGGCUUGUCUUAGAGCGCAAGACCACAGAAGGCAAGCAUGAAUACCUCGUUUUAUGGAAGGGCUUCUCUCCCUACGAUGCAACAUGGGAACCUGUCGAAAACAUGACGUCCGAGUGUGUCCGCUUGUUCUACUCCCCACCUAUGCCUGAUGGAGGUGUCCUUCAUUCCAAUGUCGCAGUCUUUCGAGCUGAGGUUGAAGUGCUUUUGAAAUCUAGGUCAAGGUUACCAGUAACCUUUUAUUUCAGGGGAGAUGUUUUUAGAUAUUUAUUUAAUUUUAAUGACUCCAAUUGGCAUUAUCUCGAAAGAGAUCAGUUCCCUGCCACAUAUUUUCCAAAGGGCUGGGAUCAGCUGGCUGACAUGCAUGGACAGGGGAUCAAAGUAUUUUAUCCCAUGAAGGUUAGAAGCUUUGUUAGCUUUACAACAAAGAAAUACUCCAGACAACCCCUGCCAGUUUUAUUACCUAGGGCUUUUCAAGAGAAAGUAACAGUUUCUUUCGUUAAAGUUGCACUUGGUGACAAAUAAAGUUAGUAGAGCCUUAA
Molecule: long non-coding RNA, 1183 nt
Organism: Nematostella vectensis (starlet sea anemone)
Lineage: Eukaryota; Metazoa; Cnidaria; Anthozoa; Actiniaria; Edwardsiidae
Exons: 3
Source: RefSeq, a predicted model, not a curated record